Molecule: ribosomal RNA, 253 nt
Filed under: uncultured bacterium
Lineage: Bacteria
Description: partial 16S ribosomal RNA
Rfam family: Bacterial small subunit ribosomal RNA
Source: RNAcentral
UACGAAGGGGGCUAGUGUUGCUCGGAAUUACUGGGCGUAAAGCGCACGUAGGCGGAUUGUUAAGUCGGGGGUGAAAUCCUGGAGCUCAACUCCAGAACUGCCUUCGAUACUGGCGAUCUCGAGUUCGGGAGAGGUGAGUGGAACUGCGAGUGUAGAGGUGAAAUUCGUAGAUAUUCGCAAGAACACCAGUGGCGAAGGCGGCUCACUGGCCCGAUACUGACGCUGAGGUGCGAAAGCGUGGGGAGCAAACAGG